RNAcentral lists this ribosomal RNA (686 nucleotides) under Chasmanthium latifolium (wild oats). RNAcentral describes it as "eukaryotic LSU rRNA". The stretch from base 274 to 429 matches the Rfam family "5.8S ribosomal RNA". Lineage: Eukaryota; Viridiplantae; Streptophyta; Magnoliopsida; Poales; Poaceae. The record is from RNAcentral.
AAGUCGUAACAAGGUUUCCGUAGGUGAACCUGCGGAAGGAUCAUUGUCGUGACCCGAAACCAAAACAGACCGCGAACGCGUCACCCGCCCGGCUGGCCGGCUCCCCCGGGAGCUGUCCUGCCAAGGCCCCCGACCUCCGCCGGGAGGGGAGGGGCCGCAACAGAACCCCCACGGCGCCGAAGGCGUCAAGGAACACUGAUAUUGCCCUGCGAGGGGGUGGGGCCGGCUCGCCGGCCUCGCCCCGCGCGGCGAUGCUACCUUAAUAAUCCACACGACUCUCGGCAACGGAUAUCUCGGCUCUCGCAUCGAUGAAGAACGUAGCAAAAAGCGAUACCUGGUGUGAAUUGCAGAAUCCCGCGAACCAUCGAGUUUUUGAACGCAAGUUGCGCCCGAGGCCUUCUGGCCGAGGGCACGCCUGCCUGGGCGUCACGCCAAAAGACGCUCCCAACCCAUCCACCCCGGGUGGUGGGGAGGGACGCGGCGUCUGGCCCCCCGUGCCGCAGGGCGCGGUGGGCCGAAGAGGGGGCUGCCGGCGUACCGUGCCGGGCGCCGCACGUGGUGGGCGACACAACAAGUUGUUCUCGGUGCAGCGCCUCGGCCCGCAGCCGGCGCGAUGGCCCUAGCAAGGACCCAUCCUCGACCGCGGCGCACGCCGCUCGGACCGCGACCCCAGGUCAGACGGGACU